AACGAACGCUGGCGGCAUGCCUAACACAUGCAAGUCGAACGAGACCUUCGGGUCUAGUGGCGCACGGGUGCGUAACGCGUGGGAACCUUCCCUUAGGUUCGGAAUAACUCCCCGAAAGGGGUGCUAAUACCGGAUAAUGUCUUCGGACCAAAGAUUUAUCGCCUUUGGAUGGGCCCGCGUUGGAUUAGCUAGUUGGUAGGGUAAAAGCCUACCAAGGCGACGAUCCAUAGCUGGUCUGAGAGGAUGAUCAGCCACACUGGGACUGAGACACGGCCCAGACUCCUACGGGAGGCAGCAGUGGGGAAUAUUGGACAAUGGGCGAAAGCCUGAUCCAGCAAUGCCGCGUGAGUGAUGAAGGCCUUAGGGUUGUAAAGCUCUUUUACCCGGGAUGAUAAUGACAGUACCGGGAGAAUAAGAUCCGGCUAACUCCGUG
This 433-nucleotide ribosomal RNA is filed under the name uncultured bacterium. Its description in RNAcentral is "partial 16S ribosomal RNA". It matches the Rfam family "Bacterial small subunit ribosomal RNA", at positions 29 to 507 of the family's 1533-position model. The record is from RNAcentral.